Molecule: ribosomal RNA, 252 nt
Filed under: uncultured bacterium
Lineage: Bacteria
Description: partial 16S ribosomal RNA
Rfam family: Bacterial small subunit ribosomal RNA
Source: RNAcentral
UACGGAAGGGGCGAGCGUUGUUCGGAAUUAUUGGGCGUAAAGGGCGUGUAGGCGGCUUCAUAUGUCCGUGGUGAAAGCAUACGGCUCAACCGUAUUAAGCCUUGGAAACUGUGGAGCUUGAGGCUGGGAGGGGCUGGUGGAAUUCCCUGUGUAGCGGUGAAAUGCGUAGAUAUCUGGAGGAAUACCGGUGGCGAAGGCGGCAUCCUGGACCAUUACUGACGCUGAGGCGCGAAAGCUAGGGGAGCAAACGGG